CCUACGGGUGGCAGCAGUGGGGAAUAUUGGGCAAUGGGCGCAAGCCUGACCCAGCAACGCCGCGUGAAGGAAGAAGGCUUUCGGGUUGUAAACUUCUUUUAUGAGGGAAGAACAGAAGACAGUACCUCUUGAAUAAGCCCCGGCUAACUACUGGCAAGCAGCCGGGGUAAUACGUAGGUGGCAAGCGUUGUUCGGAUUUACUGGGUGGAAAGGGCGUGCAGGCGGGAAGACAAGUCAGAUGUUAAAUCCCGGGGCACAACCGCGGAACUGCAUUUGAAACAGUUUUUCUUGAGUACCGGAGAGGUAAUCGGAAUUCCAUGUGUAGCGGUGAAAUGCGUAGAUAUAAGGAAGAACACCAGUGGCGAAGGCGGAUGACUGGACGGCAACUGACGGUGAGGCCCGAAAGCGUGGGGAGCAAACAGGAUUAGAUACCAGGGUAGUC
This 442-nucleotide ribosomal RNA is filed under the name uncultured bacterium. Its description in RNAcentral is "partial 16S ribosomal RNA". It matches the Rfam family "Bacterial small subunit ribosomal RNA", at positions 338 to 795 of the family's 1533-position model. The record is from RNAcentral.